This 362-nucleotide transfer-messenger RNA is filed under the name Salmonella enterica. It matches the Rfam family "transfer-messenger RNA". From Rfam's summary of the family: Bacterial tmRNA, also known as 10Sa RNA or SsrA, is named for its dual tRNA and mRNA-like properties. Lineage: Bacteria; Pseudomonadati; Pseudomonadota; Gammaproteobacteria; Enterobacterales; Enterobacteriaceae. The record is from RNAcentral.
GGGGCUGAUUCUGGAUUCGACGGGAUUUGCGAAACCCAAGGUGCAUGCCGAGGGGCGGUUGGCCUCGUAAAAAGCCGCAAAAAAAUAGUCGCAAACGACGAAAACUACGCUUUAGCAGCUUAAUAACCUGCUUAGAGCCCUCUCUCCCUAGCCUCCGCUCUUAGGACGGGGAUCAAGAGAGGUCAAACCCAAAAGAGAUCGCGCGGAUGCCCUGCCUGGGGUUGAAGCGUUAAAACGAAUCAGGCUAGUCUGGUAGUGGCGUGUCCGUCCGCAGGUGCCAGGCGAAUGUAAAGACUGACUAAGCAUGUAGUACCGAGGAUGUAGGAAUUUCGGACGCGGGUUCAACUCCCGCCAGCCCACCA